GUGAGUAGUUCAGAGUUUGAUCCUGGCUCAGGAUGAACGCUAGCGGCAGGCUUAACACAUGCAAGUCGAGGGGCAGCAUGACACGGAGAUUCGUCGAAGUGUUGAUGGCGACCGGCGCAAGGGUGCGUAACGCGCGAGCAACUUGCCCGUUUCUGGGGAAUAACCGGUGGAAACGCCGACUAAUACCCCAUAGCAUUGGUUUGAGGCAUCUCUUACCAAUUAAAGAAUUUCGGAAACGGAUAGGCUCGCGUGACAUUAGCUAGAUGGCGGGGUAACGGCCCACCAUGGCAACGAUGUCUAGGGGUUCUGAGAGGAAGGUCCCCCACACUGGAACUGAGACACGGUCCAG
This 349-nucleotide ribosomal RNA is filed under the name uncultured bacterium. Its description in RNAcentral is "bacterial SSU rRNA". It matches the Rfam family "Bacterial small subunit ribosomal RNA", at positions 1 to 334 of the family's 1533-position model. The record is from RNAcentral.